RNAcentral lists this ribosomal RNA (217 nucleotides) under Staphylococcus capitis. Its description in RNAcentral is "partial 16S ribosomal RNA". It matches the Rfam family "Bacterial small subunit ribosomal RNA", at positions 1 to 211 of the family's 1533-position model. RNAcentral also lists the same sequence under 1 other name. Lineage: Bacteria; Bacillati; Bacillota; Bacilli; Caryophanales; Staphylococcaceae. The record is from RNAcentral.
UUUAUGGAGAGUUUGAUCCUGGCUCAGGAUGAACGCUGGCGGCGUGCCUAAUACAUGCAAGUCGAGCGAACAGACGAGGAGCUUGCUCCUCUGACGUUAGCGGCGGACGGGUGAGUAACACGUGGAUAACCUACCUAUAAGACUGGGAUAACUUCGGGAAACCGGAGCUAAUACCGGAUAACAUGUUGAACCGCAUGGUUCAACAGUGAAAGACGGU